Molecule: ribosomal RNA, 253 nt
Filed under: uncultured prokaryote
Description: partial 16S ribosomal RNA
Rfam family: Bacterial small subunit ribosomal RNA
Source: RNAcentral
GACGUAGGGGGCCAGCGUUGUUCGGAAUUACUGGGUGUAAAGGGUUCGUAGGCGGUGCGGCAAGUUGGGAGUGAAAUCUCUGGGCUCAACCCAGAGGCUGCUUCCAAAACUGCUGUGCUUGAGUGUGGGAGAGGCGCGUGGAAUUGCAGGUGUAGCGGUGAAAUGCGUAGAUAUCGAGAGGAACACCAGUGGCGAAGGCGAGUCUCUGGACGACUCCUGACACUGAGGCACGAAAGCUAGGGGAGCAAACAGG